GACGGAGGGGGCUAGCGUUGUUCGGAAUUACUGGGCGUAAAGAGCGCGUAGGCGGAUUAGUAAGUUGGGAGUGAAAGCCCGGGGCUUAACCUCGGAACUGCUUUCAAAACUGCUAGUCUAGAGUGAAGUAGGGGGUGAUGGAAUUCCAAGUGUAGAGGUGAAAUUCUUAGAUAUUUGGAGGAACACCGGUGGCGAAGGCGGUCACCUGGGCUUCAACUGACGCUGAGGCGCGAAAGCGUGGGGAGCAAACAGG
Molecule: ribosomal RNA, 253 nt
Filed under: uncultured bacterium
Lineage: Bacteria
Description: partial 16S ribosomal RNA
Rfam family: Bacterial small subunit ribosomal RNA
Source: RNAcentral